RNAcentral lists this ribosomal RNA (460 nucleotides) under uncultured bacterium. RNAcentral's name for it is "partial 16S ribosomal RNA". It matches the Rfam family "Bacterial small subunit ribosomal RNA", at positions 338 to 795 of the family's 1533-position model. The record is from RNAcentral.
CCUACGGGGGACAGCAGUGAGGAAUAUUGGUCAAUGGACGCGACUCUGAACCAGCCAAGUAGCGUGCAGGAUGACUGCCCUAUGGGUUGUAAACUGCUUUUAUGUGGGCAUAAACUGUUCCACGUGUGUGCUUUUGUAUGUACCCUAUGAAUAAGGCUCGGCUAACUCCGUGCCAGCAGCCGCGGUAAUACGGAGGAUCCGCGCGUUAUCCGGAUUUAUUGGUUUUAAAGGGAGCGUAGGUGGAUCGUUAAGUGAGUUGUGAAAGUUUGCGGCGCAACCGUGAAAUUGAAGUUGAAACUGGGAGGCUGGAGUACAGCAGAGGUGGGUGGAACUCGAUGUGUAGCGGUAAAAUGCGUAGAUAUAAGGAAGAACACCAGUGGCGAAGGCGGCCGACCGGAGUGUUGCUGACGCUGAGGCACGAAAGUGCGGGUAGCAAACAGGAUUAGAUACCCGGGUAGUC